RNAcentral lists this ribosomal RNA (229 nucleotides) under uncultured prokaryote. RNAcentral describes it as "partial 16S ribosomal RNA". It matches the Rfam family "Bacterial small subunit ribosomal RNA", at positions 524 to 752 of the family's 1533-position model. The record is from RNAcentral.
UACGUAGGGCGCAAGCGUUGUCCGGAAUUAUUGGGCGUAAAGAGCUCGUAGGCGGUCCGUUGCGUCCGCUGUGAAAACCCGGGGCUUAACCCCGGGCUUGCAGUGGAUACGGGCAGACUAGAGGCAGGUAGGGGAGAAUGGAAUUCCCGGUGUAGCGGUGAAAUGCGCAGAUAUCAGGAGGAACACCGGUGGCGAAGGCGGGUCUCUGGGCCGAUACUGACGCUGAGGA